AAUAAGAUUAUUUUUUAGUUUUUUAUAUAAUGUUUUGACUCUUCGUUUUAUUUGAAAUUUUUUUGUAAUUAAUAUUUUUAUUCUUACUAGAUGAUAAAACAUGAAUAAUACUUUAUGCGUGAAGUUUCUUUAACAAAUUUUUCAAAUAAGACGAAUGGUCAAACGUUAGGUACAGAAAAAC
Molecule: microRNA precursor, 181 nt
Filed under: Oryza brachyantha (malo sina)
Lineage: Eukaryota; Viridiplantae; Streptophyta; Magnoliopsida; Poales; Poaceae
Description: MIR812 microRNA precursor family
Rfam family: MIR812 microRNA precursor family
Source: Rfam by way of RNAcentral